Molecule: unclassified non-coding RNA, 2654 nt
Filed under: Leishmania donovani
Lineage: Eukaryota; Euglenozoa; Kinetoplastea; Trypanosomatida; Trypanosomatidae
Description: gene:LdHU3.29.1400(CDS-product:5-histidylcysteine _sulfoxide_synthase_putative)
Source: RNAcentral
UUUCCCUUUCUCACUCAGGUCGAGGGAGCUUUCUUUUUUGCGUUUUCCUUUCUUCGUGCAGCCUAAUACUUACCUUUUUUACUGUGGAUUUUACUUUCCGUGCACCCUGAAGUACAAGUGGUUGGGUGUGUGCUCUGUCUUUUGGUAAAAUUCGUCCUAUUUCGGAGUAAGCUUCGAAUACAUAUAUAUAUAUAUAUAUAUUAGUUCAUUUUCUUUUUGCUGCACGGACUUGUAUUGUUUUCUGGAACCAGAGACACAAUGAAGGCGCUGCACCUUCGUCACUACAGCGGCCAAGAGGCCGAGGAGCGCUACAAACUCGCAACCCCUCGAAACCUGCUUUCGCAACGCAUGCCAACAGUUGACAGCGGCGACCCGGUGGCCAAGAUGGAGGAGAUCCGAAACUACGUUCACAACACAAUGGAGCUGUUCGAGAGGGUUUUCGACUGCCUUGCAUAUGAGGAGUCCUUCCUUGUGCCGCCCAUUCACAAACUUCGCCAUCCCAUGAUCUUCUACUACGGCCACACCGCAUGCUUCUAUAUCAAUAAGCUCCGCGUGGCUGGCCUAACGGAGCGGAUCAGCCCGAGGCUCGAGAAUAUGUGCGCCAUCGGCGUCGAUGAAAUGAGCUGGGAUGAUUUGAACGAGGCGCACUACUCCUGGCCUAGCGUGGAGACGGUGUGCGAGUACCGUCGCCAGGUGCGCGACCGCAUUGACCAGCUCAUGUCGAGCGGCAAGUUUCCCCUCAAGAUGCCGCUGACACUGGCAAACAGCACCGAUAAUGACGCUAACGCCUUCUGGUGGGUGAUGCUGAUGUGCGCCGAGCAUGAGCGCAUUCACUUCGAGACCGUCUCCGUGCACGUUCGCGAGUUGCCAAUGAAAUACAUUUCUACGGUCAUGUCUGACAUUUGGCAGCGCUGCCCCGACGCGGGCACUCAAGCUCCAAUCAACGACCUCGUGCCCAUCGCGGGCGGCAAAGUACAGGUAGGCCGCAUGCCGAACUCUCGUGUGUACGGCUGGGACUGCGACUACACGAAUGGAUGCAACAUAGUGGAGGUGGCGCCGUUCAAAGCGAGCAGGUUUAUCGUCUCCAACGCUGAGUUCUUCACGUUCAUGAAGGCAGACGGGUACAAUGUGCAGCGGUACUGGGACGAAGAGGGCUGGAAGUGGGUGCAGUGGAAGAAACCGGAGCACCCGUGGUUCUGGGUGCGUGACGAGACCCGCCAGAGCGGCUUCGCGCUGCGUCUUCAGACGCAGCUGAUCGAUCUCCCGUGGGACUGGCCAUGCGAGCUCAACAACCUCGAGGCUCACGCCUUCUGCUCCUUCAAGAGCGAGCAGCUGGGCAAGAGGAUUCGCAUGCUGACCGAGGAGGAGUGGACGCUGCUGUUUGACCGGUACAUCGGAAAGGAUCAGCCGGAGUGGGGUGAGAAGGCGCCUGGAAACAUCAACCUCGAGCACUACCAGAGCAGCUGUCCUGUCAGCAAGUUCAAGCACGGCGACCUUUAUGACGUGAUCGGCAACGUGUGGCAGCAUUGCGAGACCCGCGUCCACCCCUACCCUGGGUAUCGGGUUCAUCCCUUUUAUGAUGACUUUUCUCUCCCGACAUUCGAUGGCCAGCACGCGUGCAUGAAGGGUGGGACGUGGGCGAGCACCGGCAAUAUGGCCACCCGCGACGCCCGCUUUGCCUUUCGCCGCCACUUCUUCCAGUACAUUGGCUUGCGCUACGUGGAGGGACCUGAUGUACUUGAACCGCAGAGCAAGUGUGGUUGUCUUGGUCUCGAUCCUGAGGUGGAUGCCAUUACCAACACCUGUUUCCGCGACUCUUUCCAGGGCUUGCCAAACGGCUGUGUUGCGAUCGCCGAGUAUGCCAGGAGGAUGUUCGCGGAACAUGCCACGGUGCCAGCGGUGAGAGCAAUGGACAUCGCAUGCGGCGGCGGCCGCGUCGCAUUCGAGCUAACGACGUCCUUUCAACAGGUACUUGGCGUCGACUAUACGGCGCGCCGUCUGAUGCCUGGCUUCGCCAUUCGCGAGCGCGGCGAGUGCCAGUACAGCGUCCAGAACUCAGCCAACGGGGAGCGCACUGCCCAUACUGUGAAGAGUGAGAACUUCCGGUGGGAACCGACCCUCAAGCGCGCUACCUUCUUUCAGUCCGACCCCACAAACCUGCACUCCCACCUCUCCGACUUGUCGUUGGUGGUGUGCUGGAAUUGCUUGGAGCGCAGUUACCAACCAAGCGCCAUUCCUGCCCACCUGCUCAGCCGUGUCGCAAAGGGCGGUCUUCUCGUGAUUGGUGGCGACUACAACUGGGAUAACAUCAAGAAGAGCGCCGAGGACGCUGACGCGCAGGACAACACGUACUUGACUGACCCCUUGAUCACGUUCAAAGGCAACUAUCAAGCAGAGAUCUUCCAUCUGCUGGGCGGCAGUGAUGCGGUAGAGCAGGUGGGCGAGGUUGUGUCCAUUCCGGUGGCCUUUCCGAAGACGGAAGACACAGCCGACAUCCGUGUCAUGGAGCUCGCGACGUAUCGCAAGAAGUAGGAGUGCGCAAAAGAGUCUCUGUAGAGGCCCGAGAAAAAGCGACGCCACGACGACACGUUGCCCAGCUUGAAAUCUCCCCUUCAACCCUUUUUCUAUUUUUUUCUUUCUCUUGUUUGCCCCAG